AUGGUGUCGGGCGCAGCUGGUUCGGCCGCUCAUCCGGAGCGGUCGAGGCAAGAGGGAACCCGGUGGGAAUCCGGGACUGCCCCGCAGCGGUGAGUGGGAACGACCGCCGUCAUCAGCACUGGGCCGCCAACGGCCUGGGAAGCGACGGCCAGUAGGAGACCGGCGAGUCCGGUCACGCCCGCGAGUCCGAAGACCUGCCAGUGCGCCGUACGCCCG
This 216-nucleotide non-coding RNA is filed under the name Micromonospora echinofusca. The record is from RNAcentral. Lineage: Bacteria; Bacillati; Actinomycetota; Actinomycetes; Micromonosporales; Micromonosporaceae.